This 292-nucleotide ribosomal RNA is filed under the name uncultured bacterium. RNAcentral describes it as "partial 16S ribosomal RNA". RNAcentral also lists the same sequence under 1 other name. The record is from RNAcentral.
GGACUACUGGGGUAUCUAAUCCUGUUUGCUCCCCACGCUUUCGCACCUCAGCGUCAGUACCGGACCAGUGGGCCGCCUUCGCCACCGGUGUUCUUCCUAAUAUCUACGAAUUUCACCUCUACACUAGGAAUUCCACCCACCUCUUCCGGACUCAAGACGUGCUGUAUCAAAGGCAGUUCCGAAGUUGAGCUCCGGGAUUUCACCCCUGACUGACACAUCCGCCUACGUGCGCUUUACGCCCAGUGAUUCCGAACAACGCUAGCUCCCUUCGUAUUACCGCGGCUGCUGGCAC